AUGCCAUGGUGUGGACACUGGACCAAUAUCCCCUUGAACCUCUCCCACGUUUCUUGCAGUGUUUCAGCUGAUUUUUGCCUGAAGCUUAAUAUCUCAUCAACUUGCUU
Molecule: small nucleolar RNA, 107 nt
Organism: Nicotiana attenuata
Lineage: Eukaryota; Viridiplantae; Streptophyta; Magnoliopsida; Solanales; Solanaceae
Rfam family: Plant small nucleolar RNA R71
About the family: R71 is a member of the C/D box family of snoRNAs containing the C (UGAUGA) and D (CUGA) box motifs. Multiple nearly identical copies of this snoRNA have been identified in Arabidopsis, and it is thought to function as a 2'-O-ribose methylation guide for 18S ribosomal RNA.
Source: Rfam